CAGUUCCAAAAAGGACAGCAACGCCUUGACUUACCCAGCAAAGCACUUGUGCCAUUAAAAGGGCUUUUUAGUCCAUUAACUGCCACACCAUUUAGUGACUAACAAAUCACAUUGCAAUACGUAUGUAUGUUACUAAUUGUCAGGGCAACAAAGUUACACUAGUUAGUAAAUUGCAAUUUUGGCUUUACUUUGCUGGAAUUGCGUCUAGCAAACAGAGCUCAAUGCUCCUGAUCAAUACAGCAAUAAAAUGAUAACAAUUGCAAUAACCAUGUCAAUAGGCUCCCUGCAGAAAUAAACAUUGACUUGC
Pelobates cultripes (western spadefoot toad) is the source of this 307-nucleotide non-coding RNA. The record is from the annotation of a GenBank genome assembly. NCBI's taxonomy places the organism in Eukaryota, Metazoa, Chordata, Amphibia, Anura, Pelobatidae.